CUUCCUUUACCAGAUUUAUCAAUAGAAGGGGAAGUAUCGUCACUUACUUUUGGAGCUUUCAUCUUUUCAACUGAUUUUCCCUUUACCUUCUUCUCAGCAACACUUGAUUGAAUUUUGGAUUUGGAAGCACGAACAAUUGUAACAGGGACGGCGUCCUUGAUGAUCUUUGAUGGUUCGAUUUUUGCUUUUGAUCGAGUAGAACGGCCGGACUUUGUAGUUUGUGAUGAUUCAGACAUGUUUGGAUGAAGGUUUUUGAAGUUGAAUAGAUGGAGUUUGA
RNAcentral lists this long non-coding RNA (277 nucleotides) under Trifolium pratense (red clover). Its description in RNAcentral is "long non-coding RNA (TPRA_LNC005796)". Lineage: Eukaryota; Viridiplantae; Streptophyta; Magnoliopsida; Fabales; Fabaceae. The record is from RNAcentral.